Molecule: ribosomal RNA, 614 nt
Filed under: Leuconostoc sp.
Lineage: Bacteria; Bacillati; Bacillota; Bacilli; Lactobacillales; Lactobacillaceae
Description: bacterial SSU rRNA
Rfam family: Bacterial small subunit ribosomal RNA
Source: RNAcentral
GUGCUUGCACCUUUCAAGCGAGUGGCGAACGGGUGAGUAACACGUGGAUAACCUGCCUCAAGGCUGGGGAUAACAUUUGGAAACAGAUGCUAAUACCGAAUAAAACUUAGUAUCGCAUGAUAUCAAGUUAAAAGGCGCUACGGCGUCACCUAGAGAUGGAUCCGCGGUGCAUUAGUUAGUUGGUGGGGUAAAGGCUUACCAAGACGAUGAUGCAUAGCCGAGUUGAGAGACUGAUCGGCCACAUUGGGACUGAGACACGGCCCAAACUCCUACGGGAGGCUGCAGUAGGGAAUCUUCCACAAUGGGCGCAAGCCUGAUGGAGCAACGCCGCGUGUGUGAUGAAGGCUUUCGGGUCGUAAAGCACUGUUGUAUGGGAAGAAAUGCUAAAAUAGGGAAUGAUUUUAGUUUGACGGUACCAUACCAGAAAGGGACGGCUAAAUACGUGCCAGCAGCCGCGGUAAUACGUAUGUCCCGAGCGUUAUCCGGAUUUAUUGGGCGUAAAGCGAGCGCAGACGGUUGAUUAAGUCUGAUGUGAAAGCCCGGAGCUCAACUCCGGAAUGGCAUUGGAAACUGGUUAACUUGAGUGUUGUAGAGGUAAGUGGAACUCCAUGGGU